ACACAUGCAGUCGAGCGGUAGAGAGAAGCUUGCUUCUCUUGAGAGCGGCGGACGGGUGAGUAAUGCCUAGGAAUCUGCCUGGUAGUGGGGGAUAACGUUCGGAAACGGACGCUAAUACCGCAUACGUCCUACGGGAGAAAGCAGGGGACCUUCGGGCCUUGCACUAUCAGAUGAGCCUAGGUCGGAUUAGCUAGUUGGUGAGGUAAUGGCUCACCAAGGCGACGAUCCGUAACUGGUCUGAGAGGAUGAUCAGUCACACUGGAACUGAGACACGGUCCAGACUCCUACGGGAGGCAGCAGUGGGGAAUAUUGGACAAUGGGCGAAAGCCUGAUCCAGCCAUGCCGCGUGUGUGAAGAAGGUCUUCGGACUGUAAAGCACUUUAAGUUGGGAGGAAGGGCAGUUACCUAAUACGUGAUUGUUUUGACGUUACCGACAGAAUAAGCACCGGCUAACUCUGUGCCAGCAGCCGCGGUAAUACAGAGGGUGCAAGCGUUAAUCGGAAUUACUGGGCGUAAAGCGCGCGUAGGUGGUUUGUUAAGUUGGAUGUGAAAUCCCCGGGCUCAACCUGGGAACUGCAUUCAAAACUGACUGACUAGAGUAUGGUAGAGGGUGGUGGAAUUUCCUGUGUAGCGGUGAAAUGCGUAGAUAUAGGAAGGAACACCAGUGGCGAAAGCGACCACCUGGACUGAUACUGACACUGAUGUGCGAAAGCGUGGGGAGCAAACAGGA
RNAcentral lists this ribosomal RNA (730 nucleotides) under uncultured bacterium. RNAcentral's name for it is "bacterial SSU rRNA". It matches the Rfam family "Bacterial small subunit ribosomal RNA", at positions 51 to 777 of the family's 1533-position model. The record is from RNAcentral.